This 69-nucleotide transfer RNA is filed under the name Daubentonia madagascariensis (aye-aye). RNAcentral's name for it is "transfer RNA-His". It matches the Rfam family "tRNA". From Rfam's summary of the family: Transfer RNA (tRNA) molecules are approximately 80 nucleotides in length. Their secondary structure includes four short double-helical elements and three loops (D, anti-codon, and T loops). The record is from RNAcentral. Lineage: Eukaryota; Metazoa; Chordata; Mammalia; Primates; Daubentoniidae.
GUAAAUAUAGUUUAAAUAAAACAUUAGACCGUGAAUCUAACAAUAGAAGCUCAUCACUCCUUAUUUACC